AAGCGCACGAUCCCUAGCUGGUAGGAGGGAUGACCAAGCCCACAUGGAAUUGAGACCCGUCCAGACUCCUACCGGAGGCAGCAGUGGGAAUAUUGACCAUUGGCGCAGCUGAUGCAGCCAUGCCGCGUGUAUGAAGAAUGCCUUCGGGUUGUAAAAGUACUUUCAGCGGGGAGGAAGGCGAUGAGGUUAAUAACCUCGUCGAUGACGUUACCCGAAGAAGAAGCACUGCUAAUUCGUGCCAGCAGCCGCGGUAAUACGGAGGGUGCAGCGUUAUCGGAAUACUGGGCGUAAAGCGCACGCAGGCGGUCUGUUAAGUCAGAUGUGAAAUCCCCGGGCUUACCUGGGAACUGCAUUUGAAACUGGCAGGCUUGAGUCUCGUAGAGGGGGGUAGAAUUCCAGGUGUAGCGGUGAAAUGCGUAGAGAUCUGGAGGAAUACCGGUGGCGAAGGCGGCCCCCUGGACGAAGACUGACGCUCAGGUGCGAAAGCGUGGGGAGCAAACAGGAUUAGAUACCCUGGUAGUCCACGCCGUAAACGAUGUCGACUUGGAGGUUGUGCCCUUGAGGCGUGGCUUCCGGAGCUAACGCGUUAAGUCGACCGCCUGGGGAGUACGGCCGCAAGGUUAAAACUCAAAUGAAUUGACGGGGGCCCGCACAAGCGGUGGAGCAUGUGGUUUAAUUCGAUGCAACGCGAAGAACCUUACCUGGCCUUGACAUCCAGAGAACUUAGCAGAGAUGCUUUGGUGCCUUCGGGAACUCUGAGACAGGUGCUGCAUGGCUGUCGUCAGCUCGUGUUGUGAAAUGUUGGGUUAAGUCCCGCAACGAGCGCAACCCUUAUCCUUUGUUGCCAGCGGUUCGGCCGGGAACUCAAAGGAGACUGCCGGUGAUAAACCGGAGGAAGGUGGGGAUGACGUCAAGUCAUCAUGGCCCUUACGGCCAGGGCUACACACGUGCUACAAUGGCGCAUACAAAGAGAAGCGACCUCGCGAGAGCAAGCGGACCUCAUAAAGUGCGUCGUAGUCCGGAUUGGAGUCUGCAACUCGACUCCAUGAAGUCGGAAUCGCUAGUAAUCGUAGAUCAGAAUGCUACGGUGAAUACGUUCCCGGGCCUUGUACACACCGCCCGUCACGCCAUGGGAGUGGGUUGCAAAAGAAGUAGGUAGCUUAACAUUUGGAACAAGGUACCAUAGAGUACGCGAUGUUUUAUUCUUAUG
This 1210-nucleotide ribosomal RNA is filed under the name Pantoea sp. gx-200. RNAcentral describes it as "bacterial SSU rRNA". It matches the Rfam family "Bacterial small subunit ribosomal RNA", at positions 270 to 1479 of the family's 1533-position model. Lineage: Bacteria; Pseudomonadati; Pseudomonadota; Gammaproteobacteria; Enterobacterales; Erwiniaceae. The record is from RNAcentral.